AUGGGGAGGCUGCCAUCUGCAAGGGCCGGCAGAUCUGGAACCAGUGCAGAGAGAUGGCAUGAUGCUAAGUUUGGUCAACAGAGGCUGUUGGAGGACACUGGAGGAGGAAGGGGCUUCUGCGCCUGGUCCUGCGAUGCUCUCCCAGAUUUGCUCCUGGGGCACGCAUUAGCCAGGAGCAUGAAGGACACCCAGUGGUGUCCACCCAGCAGGUUGCAGCAGCAGCCUGUGGGCAGCUUCACACUGAGCUCCACCAGCAUCCCAGGACACGGCUCCCUGCUUCCCAGCACUGGCUAGCAGCACCCAGCAAACGUCUCCACCAUCCAGUGGGCCACACCUGCCCUCCCGCUACAGAGAUGCCCUUCCUGGUUUGUUCCUUCCCUGGAGCUCUGCCUCAGCCCUGCAGAUGGAGGCUGCUCCCUGAAUCUGCUAUUCUUUAGUCUCUACCUGUUAGUACCUAGUCCCUUAACACUCAGCAUCCUAUAUUAAACUUUCCCAACCAUGUGUGGUGGCUCAUGCCUAUAAUCCCAGCACUUUGGGAGGCCGAGGUGGGUGAAUCACCUGAGUUCAGGAGUUCCAGAUCAACCUGGCCAACAUGGUGAAACCUUGUCUCUACUAAAAAUACAAAAUAAAAAAAAAAAUGUUGGGUGUGGUGGCAGGAACCUGUAAUCCCAGCUACUUGGGAGGGUGAGACAGGAGAAUCGCUUGAAUCUAGGAGGCAGAGGUUGCCAUGAGCCGAGAUCGCGCCAUUGCACUCUAACCUGGGUGAGAGAGCAAGAAUCUGUCUGAAGAAAAAAUAAAAAAUAAAAUAAAAUAAAACUUUCCCAGUUCCGAUAGCUACGUGGCUCCUGUCUCCUAACUGGACUCUGAAGGAUAUACCCAUGCAUUAACUACCUAGAGUCAACAAUUAAUAUUUUGCUAUGUCUUCCUUAUCAUAUGGGAGCCUCUUAUUAGUAACGAUCUCUAGCUGCACAUGUCAAAACAAGGCUCAUCCUAGGGAUAAAGGUGUAUUCGUUUACAAGGGCUGCCAUAACCAAGUACACAAGACCCAGUGGCUUACGCAACAGAAAUUCGUUUUCUCACAGUUCCUGGAGGCUGACAUUCAAAUCAAAGUAUCAGUUAGUUUCUUCCGCAGCCUCUCUCCUUGGCUUGCCAAUGGCCAUCUUCAUGUCACACGGCAUCCCCUCUCUAUGCCUGUGUCCUAAUCUCCUCUUCUUGUAUGGACACCACUCAUGGUGGAUCGGAGCUCAUCCUAGACCUCAUUUUAACUUAAUUACCCCUGUAAAGACCCUGCCUCCAAAUACCAACACAAUCUGAGGAACCGGGGCUAUGCCUUCAGUUAUAGGGGCAUAUAACUGAAUGAGGGGACACGUAAUUGAGCUCAUCACAGAAGAGAUCCACAGAAAGGUGUCCUUGUGCCCUGUGCUUUCUGAGGAAGAAGUGCUCCCUUGAGAUUCUCAGAGGUAAAGAUGCAACUAAGUCAUUUCUUCUGCCCCCUGGAAAACAAAAUGACAUAGACAUGUACCUCCCCGGAGGAGCCGCCUGACACCACUGAGCGGGGCGUAAGAGGUAACACUGAAGAGUUGGAGGGAGGAGAGAUGAGAGAAGAGAAAAUCAUGGAGCUUGAGUUGGCCUUUGCAGAUGAUUGGUGUCUCUGGUAAGAUCAGGCCGGGGAUAUUUAGAGUGCCCUGGAGGAUCUGAGAAUGCCCAGAACACUAAGUAAACCAGUGGGGAUUGCACCAGCCUUGCUGGAAGGGCCUUGCUGACUGGUCUGGAGGUGAAGCAAUGGUGCCCGGAGAGUGAGUGCAGCUCUGGAGGGAUUCGAUGUCUCACAAAGACCAGGCAAGUCGCAGACACCACCACCUAGUAGGCCACACAGGCUUUAGGAAGUGUCAUCAUGGGACAGGGAGGCUGAGUGUAGGCAAUUGCAGGACUUUGGGAAACUGUGGGAUUUUCUUGAGGGGCAGCUUCCUCAAAACACAGUCAGUGUUACCGUUUCCUUUUAAGUGGCAACACUGACUAUGUGUUUUGAGGAAGUUCUGGGCGGGCCAGUUAUGCAGCAGUGGUUUUCUUGGAUUCAGAAACAAGGGAAGACUAACCACUCCCCAGAUGAUAACUCCAGCUCUGCAUACUCCGGGGACCUCAGCCCACAGGGAACAAAAGCUUGCUCUUUUGGAAGAAGUUGCCUUUUACUGCAUAAUAUGUAAGGAGAAAAAAUAUUUUAAGUCCCCACAAAUGAACCGAGGGAACCAUUAGGGGAGGAAGAAGCUUGGCCUAGCCCUGCUGCAUCCUGACUCUGUGAGUUCCCUGUUCGGUCAGCCUAUUGCUGGGGUCUGGGGAUGGUGAUUAAAUCACCUGCAAUCAGAGGCCAAUUCAUACCAGCAUUGGGAAACUGUUUUGGGAUGCCUGAAAGAGACCUGACAUAAACACACAGCAGAUCGAUCCCAGCACUGAGCUCUAGCUGGACCCUUGUCUCACUUCCUCACCACUUCCUCACUUUGUCGCCGUGCUUUCAAGAUUUAGAAAGUCCUUUUAGAUCUAUCUUUGGCUUAAUGAAAAGUUUUCUUCACAGUCAUAUUUUAUAAAACAAAAAGGAAGCUUGAUCUCCCUGCCACACUUUCACUCCACUAGUGGAUUCUUUUUCUGAUACCGUAUUAUUUGCAAGCCAUUAAGUCUCGAGAUUUUGCUGACACUCAGAAUAUAUCUCUAAGGAGAGUCACAGGGACUGGCAAAAUCUUCAGUUUGCAUAUUUCACUAUCUUCAUUUGAAUUUCCUAUUAGGUUUAAUGAUGAGGGGAAAUCUAGAACCACAACCUCAUUUCUGACGAGGAUACAACCAAUAGACCUGUAGCCUGCAAAGCACCAGUACCACCAAGUACAGUUGCUCAGUUGUGCAGUGCACAAAGGUGCUGUUCAAAGGGAGCGCUAUUCACAUCAUAGACAUCUUCACUGUUUUGAAAUAUGUUCUUCUUUGUAGUCUCCAAAGGUGGGCAGUCUGUAUGUUUAUUAUAAUAAUGUUUAAGCACACAGCAGCAAGACAUCUUGCUUUAACAAAAUCACUGUAUUAUGACGGAUGAAUGUAGUGUCUAAUGGGGUAUUUCAUACUGUUCUUCAGCUUACAAUAAUCAGCAGCAUGGUACUCUGACAUCAUAUCAUUUUUAUUGUGCUGUGGUUUACUUGCGCUUCCAAACAAGGAGUUGACUGAUGAUGAUUGGUGAGUAUAUAAAGAAAUCCAUCCCCUUUGUUAUUAGAACACUGCUCAAUUUAGUCUCCAUCUUACAGUUUGUCACCUGAUAUUUGUUACUUUACCUAGAUGAUAUUAUUAAGCUUUCAGCUUACAUCUAUAGUACUUUCUAUACUAUACUAUAUAUAGUGAGAUGAAUCAUUGAAAAAUAAUUGAUAAUUUUCCAUUAAUAAUCCAUUGAGU
Long non-coding RNA from Callithrix jacchus (white-tufted-ear marmoset), 3423 nucleotides. Lineage: Eukaryota; Metazoa; Chordata; Mammalia; Primates; Cebidae. The record is from Ensembl.